GACAUGAACCAAAGUGCGCUGCAAGGACUAACCAGGUUAAACAGGAUCCACUUGGGAAAAUGAUGAAAGAACACUGCCAGCCAUCCCUGCUGCCCCCUGGGCUGGAGUUCUGAGACAUGAGGACAAGAGUGGCUACCUCAUUUCCCCCAUUUCCAGAUGGGAUUGAAUCUCCACCAGAGCUUUCCCAAUCACAUUUGAGCAGGGACCCCCUGUUCCUUCAUAAUCAUUUCCAUAACACACAUAUUUGGAAGCGCUGGUGUGUUGAAAAGAAGAGACUUUGCAGCCAGCAGAUAAACAAGCAGAAACUACAAGUAGCUGAGAGCCAGACUUAAAUUCCUACGGGAACAGCUUCUCAGGCUGAGAAUUACACAUUUGUAGGGGAGUUCCAGACUGCUAUGGAGUGGUGUUUGCAGAGGUUUGAUAAAAGUGGUUUAUGCUCCUGGCAGCACCCAUGGCUUCUGUGUUUUCUCCCUUCCUGAGAGAGCACUGCUCCUGGGAAUGUCCAUGGACUCAUCUGCAGUGACUGAUGCCCAAGCUUGCCAAAGCCCGUCACCAAGACCUAUGGGAGACACCCGACCUGAACACCGAGACUUCUCCAACCUGACGUCUCUGGGCUACAAGCUGAGUUUGAGCAUUCCUCACUGAUGUGGUGACUUCUG
Molecule: long non-coding RNA, 659 nt
Organism: Zalophus californianus (California sea lion)
Lineage: Eukaryota; Metazoa; Chordata; Mammalia; Carnivora; Otariidae
Exons: 3
Source: RefSeq, a predicted model, not a curated record